CCUACGGGGGGCAGCAGUGGGGAAUAUUGGACAAUGGGCGAAAGCCUGAUCCAGCCAUGCCGCGUGUGUGAAGAAGGCCUUCGGGUUGUAAAGCACUUUCAGUGGGGAAGAAAGCCUUGGGGCUAAUACCCUCGAGGAAGGACAUCACCCACAGAAGAAGCACCGGCUAACUCCGUGCCAGCAGCCGCGGUAAUACGGAGGGUGCGAGCGUUAAUCGGAAUUACUGGGCGUAAAGCGCGCGUAGGCGGUCUGAUAAGCCGGUUGUGAAAGCCCCGGGCUCAACCUGGGAACGGCAUCCGGAACUGUCAGGCUAGAGUGCAGGAGAGGAAGGUAGAAUUCCCGGUGUAGCGGUGAAAUGCGUAGAGAUCGGGAGGAAUACCAGUGGCGAAGGCGGCCUUCUGGACUGACACUGACGCUGAGGUGCGAAAGCGUGGGUAGCAAACAGGAUUAGAUACCCGUGUAGU
RNAcentral lists this ribosomal RNA (464 nucleotides) under Vreelandella stevensii. RNAcentral's name for it is "partial 16S ribosomal RNA". It matches the Rfam family "Bacterial small subunit ribosomal RNA", at positions 338 to 794 of the family's 1533-position model. The record is from RNAcentral. Lineage: Bacteria; Pseudomonadati; Pseudomonadota; Gammaproteobacteria; Oceanospirillales; Halomonadaceae.